GCCGAAGUGGUGGAAUGGUAGACACGAAGGUCUCAAAAACCUUUGAGAGUAAUCUCAUGGAGGUUCGACUCCUCUCUUCGGCA
RNAcentral lists this transfer RNA (83 nucleotides) under Candidatus Daviesbacteria bacterium. RNAcentral's name for it is "tRNA-Leu". It matches the Rfam family "tRNA". Rfam says of the family: Transfer RNA (tRNA) molecules are approximately 80 nucleotides in length. Their secondary structure includes four short double-helical elements and three loops (D, anti-codon, and T loops). The record is from RNAcentral. Lineage: Bacteria; Candidatus Daviesiibacteriota.